CCAGCCCACUCCCAAGGAGACAUACGGCGAUCCUUUUGAUCGCCUCCCCCAGGACCCUGCCCCAUCCAUUACUGCUUCUCUCAGUUUCAUCAUCAGUCAAUCUCUCCCUCUCUACUGGCUUCUUUCCCUUUGCUUAUAACCGUGUCCAAGAACUUCCAGCUUGGCAACAGACUAGCCAAGUUUGGCUUCAUUCCCUGGAUUCUGAUCUCAUUUCUUGGCGCAGAGUAUUGUUGGAAUGCUAUCUACUGCUAAUGAGCCCUCUUUGGGCACAGCUCCAGGACCUCCCACAUAUGGGUACUUGUUGGGUACUCUGUAUACCACAGCUUAGGGCAUAUAAAGCCAGGCCUACCUGCAGCAAUGGGCAUUAGGAGUCAGAAGUACAAUAACUGUGGAAAUAACUUCAAACAAUAGAGAAAGAAGAAGGAAGAGUCAAGCAUAACACCAAAGGAUAGCAGGGCCAUUAUUGACAUUGGAAUCUCAGGAGCAGAGGCAUUUGGUGAGGGAGCCAAUAUCUGCAAGGAGAUCCAGAAAUGCCUAGGGUUUACAUCUCCCUGGCAAGGGCCCUACAAAUGACUCCUGGUACAGAAGUUUAAAGUCUCCAGCUUCCUUGCCCCAGUCCAGACCGCUCUGAGAUCCCUCUGAAAAGUGGCCAGAGUGGCUCAAGAGAAGGCUGGAGACAGAGGCAAACAGAGCCCUGACCACAUAGGCUUGGCGCAACAGGCAAAGAGCUUGCACUUAACCCGACAGGAAUGUCAGGCCUCUGAGCCCAAG
RNAcentral lists this long non-coding RNA (771 nucleotides) under Homo sapiens (human). RNAcentral describes it as "HSALNT0327391". The record is from RNAcentral. Lineage: Eukaryota; Metazoa; Chordata; Mammalia; Primates; Hominidae.